CCUACGGGAGGCAGCAGUGAGGAAUAUUGGUCAAUGGACGAGAGUCUGAACCAGCCAAGUAGCGUGAAGGAUGACUGCCCUAUGGGUUGUAAACUUCUUUUAUAUGGGAAUAAAAUGUUCCACGUGUGGGAUUUUGUAUGUACCAUAUGAAUAAGGAUCGGCUAACUCCGUGCCAGCAGCCGCGGUAAUACGGAGGAUCCGAGCGUUAUCCGGAUUUAUUGGGUUUAAAGGGAGCGUAGGUGGAUUGUUAAGUCAGUUGUGAAAGUUUGCGGCUCAACCGUAAAAUUGCAGUUGAAACUGGCAGUCUUGAGUACAGUAGAGGUGGGCGGAAUUCGUGGUGUAGCGGUGAAAUGUUUAGAUAUCACGAAGAACUCCGAUUGCGAAGGCAGUUCACUGGACUGCAACUGACACUGAGGCUCGAAAGUGUGGGUAUCAAACAGGAUUAGAUACCCCAGUAGUC
This 460-nucleotide ribosomal RNA is filed under the name uncultured bacterium. RNAcentral's name for it is "partial 16S ribosomal RNA". It matches the Rfam family "Bacterial small subunit ribosomal RNA", at positions 338 to 795 of the family's 1533-position model. The record is from RNAcentral.